AGAUGGGUUGGAGUGAUACUGUGGCUGGCUGGAGGAGAAAUUCGACAAUGGCAGCAGCGGCCAAUCAGAGUCGCCGGCUCUCACGAAAAAGCUUGAAGAGUUAAGAACUGUGAAGCCGGGAGUUGCUGGUGAAACCGCAAGGCUGGGAGCUGCAACCGCUUUGUAAUUGGCCAAAACUCCGCUGGGAGUGUACCUCCCUUGGUGAUUGGUGAAGAGAAUGGGGCUUCCGAGGACAGUCUGACCAGUCAGGACGUCUCCUCCCUGGCCAAGGAAUCAGCAUGUCUGAGACAGCUGAGCACAUCUUCCUGUCAGUACCCUUCUACCUUCUCUAAUUAUUUCUUGACAAUUUGAAUACAGUUUUCACAUUUAGUCUUCUUAUCAAAAGUAAUAUAGUUACUCUAAUAUUUAUUUUUAAAUGCUUUGGCCAUCAUUCUAUACAAUUUCAUGAAUCUUGCUAAUUUGUGUUGGAAAAUACAUGAAGACACAAUAUUUAAUAUCCUGAUUUGAUUAUGAAAUGUUUAUGUGUCUACUGCGUGCCCAGGACUGUGCUAUAUAUGCUUAGAGCAAACUGGAGGAACUACUGUAUAUGUUUUAAAACCUAACUAUGGUUUGUUCAAUUGCAUUUUAAAAGUAUUUUCAAGGUCAAAAGGGUAUGGGCUCUUUCAGAAUUAAAAACAAAUCUCCUACAGAACCAAAUCAGCUGGAACUCUGUGUAAGUAAAGUAUUCUAUGGAGGUUAAGCUUUUAAUCUAGCACGUAAGGAGUUAAAGUUCCAAAGUACUUCUAAGUACCAAAGAAAUCAUUGAGUGAAAAAUUUAUCAACAGGAGUUGCCAAAAGACACCCUUUCUUCCUGCUUAAAUGGAAUUACAUGGAGAUAUAAAGCAUUUCUCUUGAUCUCAGUUGAUGGUGUGCACAUAACAGGAACUCAGUAAAUUCUGGCAAGAUGAGCAAUAUGAUUACAAUAGAAAAGGUGAAAAUUAAAAUUACUUAUAAAAUAUUUGCAUAUGGAGGAGGACUCCAAGGAGAUGCCCAAGAAUAAAAACAUUUGAUUUAUUCAUUUGUUGGUUUUCUGAAAGUUUUUUCUUCCAUUAAAAUCUUUCCAUUAUUGCUGCUACAAUAUAAUUUGAUUAUCAAAUUUUAAAAAUUGGAUGCAUUCAAAUAUAACAGAAUCACAGCUUAGGACAAAUCUCUGUCCACCACUGGGGUUCAAACAUAUCUUGGCAUACCUGGCAAAUUGGUGGAUUUAGGCAGCCAAUAGGGUGAUUUACGUAGGGGUUUGGGGAGAAAGACUGCCAAGUCUGGGUGCCAUCAAGGAGGGGUUUUGACCAGGCUACUUUUCAAUCAAUUUGUACUGCCACAAGGUACUAGGUAGUAUUCCAAUUGGUCAGUCCCCAUAUUAUGCCAGCUAGAACUAUUUUGAGUGCUACUCUUGGAUUGAGGGGACAAUGCUUACCUAUCUUGAAGAUUCACACUCUUAUGCUGACUCACAGACUCCUCUUGGAAAGCACCAUACCAGAAAUAGAAGUGCACUAAAAUCUACCUUACAUCAAAAAAUAUUAUCCAAAGGUGAGUGAUUGGAGCUUAUUUACACUUCUGCAGGAAAUGUGAUAUAAUUUUGCAGUAAUGAAGACCCCAGAAAACACAGAAGCAUUCUGAUUCCUUGAGGACCAUAUUGGAGAUCAUGCAAAUACCCAGUAGAAGGUGGUGGUGACCUGGCUCACCAGGACUGGCUCAGCAGUGAGUGCCAGAAGGGUUCAAAGGCAACAGAAAACUCAGCAGCACAUAUCCAUGUGGCCACAGACAAAGCUUGUUCUUGAGUUCAUGUAAAAUACUGUCAAAGGGCUCUUAGAAAUUAUGGGCAGGGAACUUUGUAAGGAGCUGGUCUUGCAUCAGAAGGGAAAGGCAGGAACCAGUGAAAUAUGGAUCAUAAAACUAUUAGUACUAAGUUCAUAAUUAUGGUUUUUAGUCCAUAAAUAAUAUGAGGUGUGAGAAGUGAACAGUCUCACGCAGUAUUCCCCAUUCCCACAUGCUUAUUUGUGUGAGUAUUUCAUGGAACUAAGGGUGCUGAUAGUUUUCAAAAUACAGGGCAUGUUUUUCUUACAACAUCAUCCAUAUACAAGUUAAAUACAAUUCUUCAUUUGGUGUUCAACCAAAGAAAGAGUGAUAUAUUCCAAUAUUAGGAAAAAGCUAGUUGAACUGAAAUUAUUGUUAUUUAAGGACUUUUAAAGAGUAAUUUUGGAUGUAUACAUACAAAAAUGCUGUUUUUAGAACGUAAAUCUUGCCAAAGAGGCAACUACAGGGGUUUAACUUUCGUAUAGUGCUUAAUAGUCUAUAAUGAACAUUAUAAUAUUGGACAUGUACCAAAACCUUUAAGGAAGAUAAAACAGGUACUAUUAUUCCCAUUUUACACAUUAAGAAUGGAGGCAAAGAGGAGUUCCCAUUGCGGUGCAGUGGAAAUGGAUCUGAUUAGUAUACAUGAAGAUGUGGGUUCGAUCCCUGGCCUCGCUCAUUGCGUCGGGGAUCGAGUGUUGCUGUGAGCUGUGGUGUAGGUCACAGACAUGGCUCGGAUCCCGCCUUGCUGUGGCUGUGGUAUAGGCCAGCAGCUGUAGCUUCAAUUCAACCCCUAGCCUGGGAACUUCCAAAUGCUGGGGGUGCAGCCCUAAAAAA
Molecule: long non-coding RNA, 2667 nt
Filed under: Sus scrofa (pig)
Lineage: Eukaryota; Metazoa; Chordata; Mammalia; Artiodactyla; Suidae
Description: lncRNA (ENSSSCG00025025946.1, ENSSSCG00035067165.1, ENSSSCG00055008641.1, ENSSSCG00065033145.1)
Source: RNAcentral